GGCACAAACUUGAAGUACAUUAGUUUGGUAAGGUCCGCCGAUCCUACUAAUCCACUCUACAUCAAAUUUGGGCCC
Molecule: non-coding RNA, 75 nt
Organism: Haemonchus placei
Lineage: Eukaryota; Metazoa; Nematoda; Chromadorea; Rhabditida; Trichostrongylidae
Source: Rfam